CCUACGGGUGGCAGCAGUGAGGAAUAUUGGUCAAUGGCCGGAAGGCUGAACCAGCCAUGCCGCGUGAAGGUCAGUGCCCUAUGGGCGUUAAACUUCUUUUGUGCGGGAGCAAUAAUGGUCACGUGUGGCCAGACGAGAGUACCGUACGAAUAAGCAUCGGCUAACUCCGUGCCAGCAGCCGCGGUUAUACGGGGGAUGCAAGCGUUAUCCGGUUUUAUUGGGUUUAAAGGGUGCGUAGGCUGUGAGGUAAGUCAGCGGUGAAAUGCCCCCGCUCAACGGGGUGAAGUGCCAUUGAUACUGGCUGGCUGGAAUGCGGAUGCGGUGGGAGGAAUGUGUGGUGUAGCGGUGAAAUGCAUAGAUAUCACACAGAACACCGAUUGCGAAGGCAUCUCACGAAUCCGCGAUUGACGCUGAUGCACGAAAGCGUGGGUAUCAAACAGGAUUAGAUACCCGAGUAGUC
This 460-nucleotide ribosomal RNA is filed under the name uncultured bacterium. RNAcentral describes it as "partial 16S ribosomal RNA". It matches the Rfam family "Bacterial small subunit ribosomal RNA", at positions 338 to 795 of the family's 1533-position model. The record is from RNAcentral.